UAGAGUUUGAUCCUGGCUCAGGAUGAACGCUGGCGGCGUGCUUAACACAUGCAAGUCGAACGAUGAAGCCCAGCUUGCUGGGUGGAUUAGUGGCGAACGGGUGAGUAACACGUGAGUAACCUGCCCUUAACUCUGGGAUAAGCCUGGGAAACUGGGUCUAAUACCGGAUAGGAGCGUCCACCGCAUGGUGGGUGUUGGAAAGAUUUAUCGGUUUUGGAUGGACUCGCGGCCUAUCAGCUUGUUGGUGAGGUAAUGGCUCACCAAGGCGACGACGGGUAGCCGGCCUGAGAGGGUGACCGGCCACACUGGGACUGAGACACGGCCCAGACUCCUACGGGAGGCAGCAGUGGGGAAUAUUGCACAAUGGGCGCAAGCCUGAUGCAGCGACGCCGCGUGAGGGAUGACGGCCUUCGGGUUGUAAACCUCUUUCAGUAGGGAAGAAGCGAAAGUGACGGUACCU
This 460-nucleotide ribosomal RNA is filed under the name Micrococcus luteus. RNAcentral describes it as "bacterial SSU rRNA". It matches the Rfam family "Bacterial small subunit ribosomal RNA", at positions 1 to 480 of the family's 1533-position model. The record is from RNAcentral. Lineage: Bacteria; Bacillati; Actinomycetota; Actinomycetes; Micrococcales; Micrococcaceae.